This 65-nucleotide transfer RNA is filed under the name Dipodomys ordii (Ord's kangaroo rat). It matches the Rfam family "tRNA". Rfam says of the family: Transfer RNA (tRNA) molecules are approximately 80 nucleotides in length. Their secondary structure includes four short double-helical elements and three loops (D, anti-codon, and T loops). Further hydrogen bonds mediate the characteristic L-shaped molecular structure. tRNAs have two regions of fundamental functional importance: the anti-codon, which is responsible for specific mRNA codon recognition, and the 3' end, to which the tRNAs corresponding amino acid is attached (by aminoacyl-tRNA synthetases). tRNAs cope with the degeneracy of the genetic code in two manners: having more than one tRNA (with a specific anti-codon) for a particular amino acid; and 'wobble' base-pairing, i.e. permitting non-standard base-pairing at the 3rd anti-codon position. The record is from Rfam by way of RNAcentral. Lineage: Eukaryota; Metazoa; Chordata; Mammalia; Rodentia; Heteromyidae.
GGUGGCUCAGGGGUAGAGUGCUUGCUUUGCAUGCAUGAGACCCUGGGUUCGAUUCCUCAGCACCA